ACUGGGUUCAGUAUUGUUCUUGAUGGGGCGAUAAUUGGUGUGACACACCUCAAAACUUUCCUUUGCUUGGAAGUCUGUGAAAGAGGUUGUUCUCUGCAUGGCAUUCGGCUCCUGGGGAGAAAGAGGAUCAAUUCUGCUGCAGGUUCCACUGAACCGCAAACUCACCUUUUACAGCAUCUCUCAGUAUGCAGAAGAAGGAGGAGGCCCCCCCAUACCCCGGCCCCCCCAUUUAUUACGGGGGCACAGCAGUGACCCCCCAGCCAGGAUUCCAACCGGGUUACCAGCCAGGCCCAUACCCCACCGCAGGCCCGUACCCCCCUGGAGGACCCUACCCCCCCGGAGGAGGACAAUACCCCCCUGGAGGAGUCCAAUACCCCGCCGGAGGAGGACAAUACCCCGCCGGAGGAGGACAGUACCCCCCUGGAGGACAAUACCCCCCCGCAGGCCAGUACCCCCCCGGUCAGGCCCCUGGUGUGUACCCCCCCUCUGCACAGUACCCAGCAGGCUUUGCACCAAUGAUGGGCCAACCUAUAA
Molecule: long non-coding RNA, 534 nt
Organism: Clupea harengus (Atlantic herring)
Lineage: Eukaryota; Metazoa; Chordata; Actinopteri; Clupeiformes; Clupeidae
Source: Ensembl